UGGUAUUUUCGGAAUUUUCCAAUAAGGCC
Molecule: non-coding RNA, 29 nt
Filed under: Mus musculus (house mouse)
Lineage: Eukaryota; Metazoa; Chordata; Mammalia; Rodentia; Muridae
Source: RNAcentral